This 488-nucleotide ribosomal RNA is filed under the name Lacticaseibacillus rhamnosus. RNAcentral's name for it is "bacterial SSU rRNA". It matches the Rfam family "Bacterial small subunit ribosomal RNA", at positions 90 to 564 of the family's 1533-position model. Lineage: Bacteria; Bacillati; Bacillota; Bacilli; Lactobacillales; Lactobacillaceae. The record is from RNAcentral.
AACGAGUGGCGGACGGGUGAGUAACACGUGGGUAACCUGCCCUUAAGUGGGGGAUAACAUUUGGAAACAGAUGCUAAUACCGCAUAAAUCCAAGAACCGCAUGGUUCUUGGCUGAAAGAUGGCGUAAGCUAUCGCUUUUGGAUGGACCCGCGGCGUAUUAGCUAGUUGGUGAGGUAACGGCUCACCAAGGCAAUGAUACCUAGCCGAACUGAGAGGUUGAUCGGCCACAUUGGGACUGACACACGGCCCAAACUCCUACGGGAGGCAGCAGUAGGGAAUCUUCCACAAUGGACGCAAGUCUGAUGGAGCAACGCCGCGUGAGUGAAGAAGGCUUUCGGGUCGUAAAACUCUGUUGUUGGAGAAGAAUGGUCGGCAGAGUAACUGUUGUCGGCGUGACGGUAUCCAACCAGAAAGCCACGGCUAACUACGUGCCAGCAGCCGCGGUAAUACGUAGGUGGCAAGCGUUAUCCGGAUUUAUUGGGCGUAAA